GUGUGAAUUCCAAAUUGAAGAGAUUUAGAACCCUAAAUUCCUCAACUAGAAAAAGACAGUGUGAUUGAGCCCCACAAAAGUGCCAAAUUCAUACUUUGUUCACGAAGAACAUGACCCACAAAUGGCAACAGCAAAGAUCGAAGAACUUGAGUAAUAUCUCCCUCUCAUAUAUUUCCUCUGAUAGUCUAAAUGCAGAAAGCACAAAUGGAACAGAAUAUGGUCCAAAAUACAAACUAGAAAAAGAGGAAUAAAAAAGAAUGAAGAAAACAAAAGAAAUCAGCAAGCAUGGCACAUAGAACUUUCUACCCUCAUCAGUUGAAUCACAGCAAUCCAUUUCGGCAUAGUAGUAUUCAACAUUGGCAUCAAUAUGAUGUAUCCCUUCUCCAUCAGCUCUUCUUGGAUCUUCCGUCGCAAGAGCUUCGAUUCAACUCUUCUUUAAUGUGUAAAGUAUGAGGUCAAUCUUCGCAGCAGAAUUUACAUAUAUUCUGGAGAAGAAAUCGAUUUAGGGCUCAGAGUGAAGAAUUAGGGAAAUUGAAUUUCGAUAUGGGAUAGAGAAAAAAAUGUUUCUUGCAACCUUCGGAAAGGGCAACACUAUUCAAAUUAAUGAGGAAAUGGUGGAAAAU
This 623-nucleotide long non-coding RNA is filed under the name Olea europaea subsp. europaea. Lineage: Eukaryota; Viridiplantae; Streptophyta; Magnoliopsida; Lamiales; Oleaceae. The record is from RNAcentral.